CUCCUCCCAAUCUCCUCGCUGCCGCCGCCACCUCCUCCCCGUCCCGGCCCCUCCCGAUCCACCUCCUCCCCGUCCUCUCCCACCCACCGCCGACCUCGCCGUCCUCCUCGACCACGCCUCGCCGGAGAGAGAGAGAGGCGUCGCCCCCAGCGACUACGGCUGUUCCCCCUCCUCCCUCCUCCUUCACGCCUCACCCGCGCCGCGCCGCCCCGGCGCGCUGCUGCUAUUUAUUCCCUCCAAAUCGCCAUUGCCCACAGCAGCAAGGAAUCAAGAUCCAAUCCCGUCCCCUCCCAUCCAAUCCUCCCCCGCGGCAACAGAGAUCCAGCCAGAUCCGCCUAGUUCCAUGGCGACCGCCGGCAACGCCCCCGCUCCCGCAAGCGCAUCGAGGCCAUCGUCCUCAAGCACGCGCGCGACGGAAGUGCCUUCACCAGCUGCGAGGUGUGCAACAAGGACGUAGCCAUCGUCCUCAUCGACCUGCACAGCUGCAGCCUCCACUCCAAGAUACGCCUCAGCCUCGGUGCAUCUCAGAUCCUCACCUAUUCCAAUGCAUCUUCGGUUUGGGCGGCCGGGCGGCAUGAGAAGACCAUGAGCCGGAGGCUGGAGCAGAUCUGGAGUUUAAUUUUUCAUAGUCCGGUUGUAAUAAUUUUCAACUUAUAGUCGGGUUGCUCUGCUCUCAGUCACUUUGUAGUUUUCUGAAUGUUCUCAUGUUGAUUCUAUCUUCCACCUGGCUCAAACAUUAGAGCAGCCUACUCGUUUUUAGGAGGAGUGGUAGUAUUUGUUAGUUUUUCUUGGAGGACAGUAAGAUCAUGCUUUGAUCUUGUAUGCUACUAUGGUUAUUUUGUAGGUAGUAUUUGCCAAAGGUUGGAGGUCAACGGUUGUCACAAGCCUACAAGAGAAUAUAUUGACAGAGAGUGUAAUGGUGUAAAGCCACCCAAUAAUUUCGUCGAAGUUGAUCCCUAGACCGCGUGGGCGUACAGACCACAGACCAUCUCGUUGUUACUGAUGGGAACGUGCUUUUUAAUGUGAGCUGCUGCUGGAUCUCUUUUACCUGUGGAGUUAUUUUUAGUUUUGCUACAGAGAUUCUUACAACAAUGAUGUUAGUAAUGCACCGCUAAUGGUUGACCUACUAUGGCAUUUUACAAUUGAUAAGAUCACAAGCGGGAAAAAGAGUAAAGAAUUGUGAUGCAUGUUUACCAUGCAACUAUUUUUUAGUUCUUUAUCAGUUGGGCAAGUGGCGCGCUUUUCCCGAAGGAAGGUUCUCUGCUGACCGUGUCUCAUCUAUAAAAAGAAAAAUAACCGUUUCUUGAUCACCAACUGAACAUCUCUGAUAGAACAUAUCGUCAACUGGGAUAAUUGUCAUUCACAGGGUGUAUUUGUGAUGAUUGUUGUUUUCUUGGCUUAUUCUUUUCUUCAAGAACCUUCAAAAUCAUUCGGUGGUGGUGACCCAUAUGAUGGCGAUUUGCUCCGGCCAUUCCAAUUCUGGCGGUGGUGCUGCUCCUAUGAUGGUAGACAUGUCUGCCUCCCCUAGCUGCCACCGUGGUGAUGAAGCUCGGCCUAGGCUACAACCCCCUUCGAUGAUUGAUGAGCUGAUCUUCUUCCACCAGUGGUAGCGGGAGUGAUGCUGGAGCAGUACAUCGAUCAGUAGAUCAUCCUGCCAUUUGGGCAGGGAGAAGCUGGGACGGCCCUAAUGCGGUAACAUCACCAUGUGGCAAACCAGUAGAUGGACACAACAUUGGUGCCUGGGUGAUGGGACAAAGUACGUGUACCAGUGAUGGUGCACGAUAUUCGUGCUUCUCAUUGAUGUGAUGUGUUAUCAGCUAAAAUUUGUGCUUCUCGUCCAGUCUAUGUUGAUGUGCGCUUGUGCACUUGUUGGGCCUUUUUGUUGUGCACUUGCACUUGCACUUGUAGAACUAUUUUGUUGUGCACUUGUUGGGCCUUGAACCUUGCUGUGUAGAGGAGUCGAUUGAUGAUGUAUUGUAUUUCAUGUGGAGGAGUCGAUUGAUGAUGUAUUGUAUUUCAUGUGAUGUGCUGCUGAAAUGAAAUAUACAGUCUAUCUGAA
Triticum urartu is the source of this 2059-nucleotide non-coding RNA. Lineage: Eukaryota; Viridiplantae; Streptophyta; Magnoliopsida; Poales; Poaceae. The record is from RefSeq and is a predicted model, not a curated record.